This 468-nucleotide ribosomal RNA is filed under the name Phrynoderma karaavali. RNAcentral describes it as "partial large subunit ribosomal RNA". It matches the Rfam family "Bacterial large subunit ribosomal RNA", at positions 1922 to 2555 of the family's 2925-position model. Lineage: Eukaryota; Metazoa; Chordata; Amphibia; Anura; Dicroglossidae. The record is from RNAcentral.
GUUCAACGGCCGCGGUAUCCUGACCGUGCGAAGGUAGCAUAAUCACUUGUUCUUUAAAUGGGGACUAGUAUGAAAGGCACCACGAGGGCUUUACUGUCUCCUUUCUCCAAUCAGUGAAACUGAUCUCCCUGUGAAAAAGCAGGAAUAUUAAUAUAAGACGAGAAGACCCCAUGGAGCUUUAAACCCAAUGACAACCCGAACACUCCCAACCCAUUAGAGUUUUAUAAGUACUGUCCAUUGGUUUUAGGUUGGGGUGACCGCGGAGAACAAAAUAACCUCCAUGACGAACGGGACUAACCCCUAAUCCAAGAGCCACGGCUCUAAGAAUUAACACAUUAGCGUUAACUGAUCCAAUCAAUUGAUCAACGAACCAAGUUACCCUGGGGAUAACAGCGCAAUCCAUUUUGAGAGCCCCUAUCGAAAAAUGGGUUUACGACCUCGAUGUUGGAUCAGGGUACCCAGGUGGUG